This 347-nucleotide ribosomal RNA is filed under the name uncultured bacterium. Its description in RNAcentral is "partial 16S ribosomal RNA". It matches the Rfam family "Bacterial small subunit ribosomal RNA", at positions 338 to 682 of the family's 1533-position model. The record is from RNAcentral.
CCUACGGGAGGCAGCAGUGAGGAAUAUUGGUCAAUGGGCGCGAGCCUGAACCAGCCAAGUAGCGUGAAGGAUGACUGCCCUACGGGUUGUAAACUUCUUUUAUAAAGGAAUAAAGUGAGGCACGUGUGCCGUUUUGGAUGUACUUUAUGAAUAAGGAUCGGCUAACUCCGUGCCAGCAGCCGCGGUAAGACGGAGGAUCCGAGCGUUAUCCGGAUUUAGUGGGUUUCACGGGAGCGUAGAUGGGUUGUUAAGUCAGUUGGGAAAGUUUGCGGCUCAACCGUAAAAUUGCACUUGAUACUGGCAGCCUUGAGUACAGUUGCGGUAGGCGGAAUUCGUGGUGUAGCGGU